Molecule: ribosomal RNA, 396 nt
Filed under: uncultured bacterium
Lineage: Bacteria
Description: bacterial SSU rRNA
Rfam family: Bacterial small subunit ribosomal RNA
Source: RNAcentral
UAAUACGGAGGGGGCUAGCGUUGUUCGGAAUUACUGGGCGUAAAGCGUACGUAGGCGGAUGCGCAAGUUGGGGGUGAAAUCCCGGGGCUUAACCUCGGAAUUGCCCUCAAAACUGCACGUCUUGAGACCGAGAGAGGUAAGGGGAAUUCCUAGUGUAGAGGUGAAAUUCGUAGAUAUUAGGAAGAACACCAGUGGCGAAGGCGCCUUACUGGCUCGGUACUGACGCUGAGGUACGAAAGCGUGGGGAGCAAACAGGAUUAGAUACCCUGGUAGUCCACGCCGUAAACGAUGGGUGCUAGAUGUUGGGGUCCUUAGGGCUUCAGUGUCGCAGCUAACGCGUUAAGCACCCCGCCUGGGGAGUACGGCCGCAAGGUUAAAACUCAAAUGAAUUGACGG